Molecule: ribosomal RNA, 447 nt
Filed under: uncultured bacterium
Lineage: Bacteria
Description: bacterial SSU rRNA
Rfam family: Bacterial small subunit ribosomal RNA
Source: RNAcentral
UGGGGAAUCUUGCGCAAUGGGCGAAAGCCUGACGCAGCCAUGCCGCGUGAAUGAUGAAGGUCUUAGGAUUGUAAAAUUCUUUCACCGGGGACGAUAAUGACGGUACCCGGAGAAGAAGCCCCGGCUAACUUCGUGCCAGCAGCCGCGGUAAUACGAAGGGGGCUAGCGUUGCUCGGAAUUACUGGGCGUAAAGGGAGCGUAGGCGGAUAGUUUAGUCAGAGGUGAAAGCCCAGGGCUCAACCUUGGAAUUGCCCUUGAUACUGGCUAUCUUGAGUACGGAAGAGGUAUGUGGAACUCCGAGUGUAGAGGUGAAAUUCGUAGAUAUUCGGAAGAACACCAGUGGCGAAGGCGACAUACUGGUCCGUUACUGACGCUGAGGCUCGAAAGCGUGGGGAGCAAACAGGAUUAGAUACCCUUGUAGUCCCUGAGCGGGCUGGCAAGGCGCAU